GGGUGGUUAGUUAAGUGGCAUAACUUCGGUCUCCAAAACCGAUGUCGGGGGUCCGAUUCCCUCACCACCCG
This 71-nucleotide transfer RNA is filed under the name Candidatus Nomurabacteria bacterium RIFCSPHIGHO2_01_FULL_40_20. RNAcentral's name for it is "tRNA-Trp". It matches the Rfam family "tRNA". From Rfam's summary of the family: Transfer RNA (tRNA) molecules are approximately 80 nucleotides in length. The record is from RNAcentral. RNAcentral also lists the same sequence under 1 other name. Lineage: Bacteria; Candidatus Nomuraibacteriota.